UUUUGCUUCCUUAUAAGCAUAAUGAAAUUGUUAGAUAGCACUUGAUGCAAAAGCUGGUUGUGCUUAGUCAGUUUAGUUGCGCAACUUUCCGUUGUGCCUUUGAUCGAACUUUACAAUUACGACCUAGAAACUUCUUGUUCCUCAUGUUCUCUCGUAAUAGUUCCCUUAUCAAAGUUUGUUAUGCUUCAGGCAGGAAUUAUGCUGAAGGAUGCUGAUGCAUUGCCAGACUUGAUAGGCACUGAUAAAAGGUACUAUUUGUCAUCUUAGCCAUACUCAUAGCAUUCAGAACCGCAAAAUUUCAUGUGACGAACACCAAAAUUUGAUGUCAUUUUUAGGUUUCCAUUCGAGGAGCUUCAUAAAAUGGACAAAGCUGGACCUGAGAACAAAGAUGGUAGCGACACAGAGGACGAUGAUGAAGAUGAUGAUGGAGAAGCUGAUGAUCAGGAUGACGAUGAUGCUGAUGAUGAAGACUUUGCAGCCGAAGGAGGAGAUGAUGAUGAUGAAGAAGAAGCAGAUCCUGAAGACAAUCCAGCAUCUAAUGGCAACGAAGGCAGCGAUGACGAAGACGAUGAUGAUGAUGAAGACGAUGAGGACGGGGAUGAUGAUGAUGAAGAGGAAGACGAUGAAGAAGAGGAGGAAGAGGAGGAUCAACCACCUGCCAAGAAGAAAAAAUAAACCAUUUCCUUGUUAUGUUUAUUCUGUUUUUCUUCCAUGCUUGUUGGAGUAUGUAGUAGUAGUAGGAAGAGGGGGGAUUUUAGCUCUUUCUGUUGGAAUUAAUCAUCCUUUUGCAGACCAAAUGAACUUCUUGUCACCCUAUUUGACUGUUAGUUAUGAUAUAUAUUCCAUUUAACCCUAUGAAUACUCUUUUAACUUUCAUGCCUCUUUACCUCCGUAAGGGUAAGGUCUGCGUACACACUACCCUUUCCAAGUCAACCUGUUGAAAUUUUGUAGUUCUUGGUUUCUAUUUUAAACAUUAUAUGCUUAGCUACUGAAAGGGUGUAUGGCAUGCAGACAUUCACUCUGAUUUUCAAAAUGUUUUGACUUUCGUAUUUUGUAUUUCAUCAUUCAUGCUUAUUCAACACUCUGAUAGUGUAAAAAUCCUUUAUAUUGUCGGUAUACAAAACAUAAAAGACAAGCAAAAGUUUAUUCAAUCGACAAACGGAACACCUAACAAGAACCUCCAAUUGCAUUUUUGUCCUCAAUGACAUUUGACACUCCGACAGUAUAAAAGUAAAAGUUCUUUAUAUCGUUGAUGUACAUAACACAAAAAUAAAAGUUUAUUCAAUCAACAAAACACCUAAAAAAAACCUCCAAAUUGCAUUUUAGCAUCAUAACAAAGUAAAAACAGCAAAAAAAAACAAAAAAAAACCAAGAACACCCCCCCCCCCUUCAUAAAAUGGACAAAGCUGGACCUGAGAACAAAGAUGGUAGCGACACAGAGGACGAUGAUGAAGAUGAUGAUGGAGAAGCUGAUGAUCAGGAUGACGAUGAUGCUGAUGAUGAAGACUUUGCAGCCGAAGGAGGAGAUGAUGAUGAUGAAGAAGAAGCAGAUCCUGAAGACAAUCCAGCAUCUAAUGGCAACGAAGGCAGCGAUGACGAAGACGAUGAUGAUGAUGAAGACGAUGAGGACGGGGAUGAUGAUGAUGAAGAGGAAGACGAUGAAGAAGAGGAGGAAGAGGAGGAUCAACCACCUGCCAAGAAGAAAAAAUAAACCAUUUCCUUGUUAUGUUUAUUCUGUUUUUCUUCCAUGCUUGUUGGAGUAUGUAGUAGUAGUAGGAAGAGGGGGGAUUUUAGCUCUUUCUGUUGGAAUUAAUCAUCCUUUUGCAGACCAAAUGAACUUCU
Molecule: long non-coding RNA, 1842 nt
Filed under: Solanum tuberosum (potato)
Lineage: Eukaryota; Viridiplantae; Streptophyta; Magnoliopsida; Solanales; Solanaceae
Description: long non-coding RNA (STUB_LNC011122)
Source: RNAcentral